RNAcentral lists this unclassified non-coding RNA (390 nucleotides) under soil metagenome. Its description in RNAcentral is "partial contains 5.8S ribosomal RNA, internal transcribed spacer 2, and large subunit ribosomal RNA". The stretch from base 1 to 122 matches the Rfam family "5.8S ribosomal RNA", at positions 35 to 154 of the family's 154-position model. The record is from RNAcentral.
GAUGAAGAACGUAGCGAAAUGCGAUACUUGGUGUGAAUUGCAGAAUCCCGUGAACCAUCGAGUCUUUGAACGCAAGUUGCGCCCGAAGCCAUUAGGCCGAGGGCACGCCUGCCUGGGCGUCACACGUCGUUGCCCCCCAUCUACUCCUUCGGGAUUGCGGGGGGCGGAUGAUGGCCUCCCGUGCGCCUUGUCGCGCGGUUGGCAUAAAUACCAAGUCCUCGGCGACGCACGCCACGACAAUCGGUGGUUGCGAAACCUCGGUUGCCUGUCGUGUGCGGUCGUCGCGCAUCGAGGGCUCGAAAAAAUUGUCGGUCUUCGGCUCGGCUUUCAACGCGACCCCAGGUCAGGCGGGGUUACCCGCUGAAUUUAAGCAUAUCAACAAGCGGAGGA